AUUUUGACUGUGCAAAGGUAGCAUAAUCAUUAGUCUUUUAAUUGAGGACUGGUAUGAAUGGUUUAACGAAGUAUUAACUGUCUCAUUUUAAUAAGUUGAAAUUAACUUUUGAGUUAAAAGGCUUAAAUAAAAUUAAAGGACGAGAAGACCCUAUAGAGCUUUAUAAAUUCAGUAUUGAAUGAAAUUUGGAAGUAGUAUUAAUUUAAAUAUAGAAUUUAUUUUAUUGGGGUGAUAUGAAGAUUUAAUAAACUCUUUAUAAUGAUUAAACAUUAAUAAAUGAAUAAUUGAUCCAUUUUUAGUGAUUAUAAGAUUAAGUUACCUUAGGGAUAACAGCGUAAUGUUUUUUGAGAGUUCUUAUCAACAAAAAAGAUUGCGACCUCGAUGUUGGAUUAAGGAAAAGGUUGGG
RNAcentral lists this ribosomal RNA (406 nucleotides) under Troglophilus bicakcii. RNAcentral describes it as "partial 16S ribosomal RNA". It matches the Rfam family "Bacterial large subunit ribosomal RNA", at positions 1939 to 2552 of the family's 2925-position model. The record is from RNAcentral. Lineage: Eukaryota; Metazoa; Arthropoda; Insecta; Orthoptera; Rhaphidophoridae.